UACGGGGGGGGCAAGCGUUGUUCGGAAUUACUGGGCGUAAAGGGCGCGUAGGCGGCCUGCUAAGUCGGAUGUGAAAUCCCUCGGCUCAACCGAGGAACUGCAUCCGAUACUGGCGGGCUUGAAUCCGGGAGAGGGAUGUGGAAUUCCAGGUGUAGCGGUGAAAUGCGUAGAUAUCAGGAAGAACAUCGGUGGCGAAGGCGCUCUGCUGGACCAUAACUGACACUCAGGGACGAAAGCUAGGGGAGCGAAUGGG
Molecule: ribosomal RNA, 253 nt
Filed under: uncultured bacterium
Lineage: Bacteria
Description: partial 16S ribosomal RNA
Rfam family: Bacterial small subunit ribosomal RNA
Source: RNAcentral